Siniperca chuatsi (mandarin fish) is the source of this 4154-nucleotide RNA transcript. It is a transcript of the gene named leucine rich repeat transmembrane neuronal 4 like 1, with no coding region annotated. The record is from RefSeq and is a predicted model, not a curated record. Lineage: Eukaryota; Metazoa; Chordata; Actinopteri; Centrarchiformes; Sinipercidae. The transcript is spliced from 3 exons.
AACAAAAACAAAAACAAAUCUCACAUUUGACCAAAUCUGCCUGCAGCUGUUAAACACUGCAUUGAAUGCUUUCUCUCUCUCUCUCUCUCUCUCUCUCUCUCUCUCUCUUUUCUUUCUCCCACAUGCGCGCGCCUGCACACGAGCACACGUCCCCCACUCAGCCGGGCGCGCACACGCAAACCUGCUUGCCAAUGCACUGCACAGGAGCCAGUGACAGUGCCCAUGCCUGCCUGCGAUCGCUGUCUGGCGUCUCUACCGCUCCUCUGGAUGUUUGCGCAGAGGACACCUGCCACCGCCGGUGACUGCACCGAUCUCCGCGGCACAAUCCAGCUCGUUUCCGCCUCUUCACUUUUACAACGUGCGACGGUUUUUGUUGCGGGCACCUGUUUCAAGACUAUCUUUCAUUCGAGUGAAAAAAAACGCUGUAGAGCCAGGCGUUUGACUUCCAACUUGGAGCUUGAUGGCACGGUUAUUUUUGACAGGUCUGGAAAGUUGCGCUGCGUCAAGGAGCAUGGGCGCAAACUUUAAAAGCUUUUUAUAAUCGAGAGACAGUUUUUAGAAUGAAGGCAGGUGAGUCACCAAUCGCGUGAGAGGCGCACAGAGUUUCGGGGCUUUCCAGGUACUGGAAAAGAAAGGCGACACGGAGGACGUCGUGAUCUGAGCGGCGGAUUGCGCCACGGAGGACGGAGGGAACGGACCGAUGAGACAACAUGGGUCCAUUGCUGUUUGAUGGACGACUGACACACCUCCUCUUUCCUCUCCUCCUUCUCUUGCGGGCUCCCCUGUUGUUUAGCUUAAGUGAGCGCACCUGCCCCAAUAGCUGCCGAUGUGAGGGGAAAACUGUCCAUUGUGAUUCAGCUGGCUUCUUAGAUGUCCCUGAAAACGUCUCAGUAGGCUGCCAAGGCCUCUCCCUGCGCUACAAUGAACUACACACCCUGCUACCAUAUCAAUUUGCUCACCUCAGCCAGCUUCUAUGGAUAUACUUGGACCACAAUCAGAUUUCAGCUGUUGACAGCCGAGCAUUCCAGGGGGUCCGCAGGCUUAAAGAGCUAAUACUGAGCUCCAACAAGAUCACAUCCCUGCACAAUUCAACAUUCCAUGGAAUACCCAAUCUUCGCAGUCUGGACUUGUCCUACAAUAAAUUGGAAAUUCUGCAGCCAGGUCAAUUCCAUGGCUUACGAAAACUGCAAAACCUACACCUACGCUCAAAUGGUCUCUCCAACAUCCCAAUUCGAGCAUUCCUAGAGUGCCGAAGUUUAGAGUUUCUGGAUUUGGGCUACAAUCGAAUCAAGGCUCUUACCCGCACCACCUUUUUGGGGCUACAGAAGCUGAUGGAGUUGCAUCUGGAACACAACCAGUUCUCACGUAUCAACUUUUUUCUGUUUCCACGCUUAGCCAACCUGAGAUCACUCUAUCUGCAGUGGAACCGCAUUAGGGUGGUCAACCAGGGCCUUCCGUGGACUUGGUAUACACUGCAGAAACUCGAUCUGUCUGGAAAUGAAGUCCAGGUCCUGGACCCUGCUGUGUUUCACUGCUUGCCCAACCUUCAAGUCCUCAACCUGGAAUCCAACAAACUGUCCAAUGUGUCUCAGGAAGCAGUGUCAGCAUGGAUCUCACUGACCUCCAUCAGCCUUGCUGGGAACAUGUGGGAUUGUGGAACUGGCAUAUGCCCACUUGUGGCUUGGUUGAGGAAUUUUCGGGGUAGUAAAGACACCACUAUGAUAUGCAGCAGCCCAAAGUAUCUCCAGGGAGACAAAAUUAUGGAAGCCACAAGGAACCAUGGUAUUUGUGAGGAAACUGAUUACGUUCUGACUGAAACACCCUCACCAAUGUCAGAGCUAAUUUCUGAAGCCACAGCUGAACCAACCUUUGCCCCUACUAGCGGCUCUCCACCUUUGCCACCAACUAGCACCUUUGGUCCUCUCCCACCCUUCAGACCUCGACCUAUUCCUCAUCCUACCUUUCCAGGGCAUAUGAGCAAAGACCCAAGAGACUCAGUAGCUCGCACUCGACCCACUCCCAUACCACCACCUGAGAUAGAGCACAUGACACUGCACAAAGUGGUGGUGGGUAGUGUGGCACUCUUCUUCACUAUGUCCCUACUCUUGACAAUUAUCUAUGUGUUGUGGCGGCGCUAUCCAGGUGCAACCAGGUUGCUGCAACAACGAUCCAUGGUGGGCCGGAAGCGUCGCAAAAAGAGUCCAGAGCCUGAGCAGAACCUGAGCUCCCAGCUCCAAGAGUAUUACAUGAGCUACAACCCUGCUGCCACACCAGAGGCAUUGGAGGUGCUAGGCAAUGGCACUGGUUCCUGCACUUGCACAAUUUCUGGCUCCAGGGAGUGUGAGGUAUGAUCCAUCGCCUCAGCCUAAAAAUAAAAACUCAAAAUCAAAAUACAAAGACUCAACAGAGAGAAUGAGUAUACGUGUCCACGCCCCCUACCUGGUGCCUGGCUGGGAGAUGUGCCUACCAUCCAUUAACCCCAAAAAGGAACUGCUUUCGAUGGUGCAGCAAACCACAUUGAAACAGGGAUACAGGAGAGAGACAUAUGCAGAGAACCUAUCAGGAUCCUACUCCCAUAAUUCCCAUUCAUGGAUACAUUUAAAAUGGUCCUUCACGCUAACAAGGUCAACCAAUGACCAAGACAAAGAGGAGAUAAUAAUGUCUUUUUCUUAAGAUUUUAUAAUGUCUUUUUUUGGCCUGUGGUCUUUGGUCAUCAGCUUUGCUGCAUUCCAUCAUGCUUCAUCACUACACAAAUACUGACACAGAUGGUUGUGGAAAUGCAGUCCUAUGGUAAAUAGCAGAGCCUUGGAAAAAGAUUUGUGAACACUAAUGGAUGGUUAUAACCAACAUGGGAGCUUAUUGUAUAGACUUUAUAGCUUACUGUCUUCACGAGGACAACAUAGCAUUGUUUUAAACACAGGCAAAAGACUGUACAAACUCAAGAGUCUUUAAAAAGUGUAAACUGAGCAAUGAAUCAUUAAUGAAAAUGCAUUGAACAAGUGACUCUGACUGCUCUGCUAACACAGCUGUGUGUAAUUUAAAGUGGGUUUCCAUAUUUUGAUUCCAUAUGAAGCAUCAUUUCAAUACGUGUUUUUUUUUUUUUUUUUUAAAGGAAGACUAAUCAAAGGCUAGGAGGGUGUAAAUGUGCCUCAAUGGAGCAGGAAAAUUAUAGAAAGGAGUCACUGAGUUUCUGUGCACCAGUCAGUAAAAAGGAAUCCGCUCCAUCAGGUGGAAAUCAAGUCAGCUGGAAGAGUUUUGACGCCUGCGAAAAGUUGCCAGAGGAAAGCAAACUGUCCCCCAGCCAAUGACUGGAGAAGUUUUUUGUUUGUUUGCUUUUUUUAAAAAGUUUUUUCUAAGUUGUUUCUAAUUGCAAUCAAACCUCGACUAUGUAGUUUGAUUUGGAGGACAGAAAGGGCAAUCAGAAGCAAAGGAGGGAAAAAAGAAAACGAUCAUAUCAAGGGAAAAAUGUAAUUUUCUGAAAUUAUAAUGUUGUUAAUGUUGUACUUUAUGAAUAUGUGUUUCUGCUAUUUUCAACACCAAAUACCAAAGAGCCAAAUGGAGCAUUUUUGGCUUUUGGCUCUUCCAACCAUGGGUUGUGACAGAUCGAGGAUUUGCUCUCUUAAAAGAAAUCCAAGAAAAAUCAAAAGAAGCCUCAACUUCCCUCACAUCCAGCAGUGCUCCGGUACCCAAUUGGCUUUUUUCAUGUGUGUAAUGUGUACGUCUUUGUGAACAAGUGAUCUUGCAACGACAGUCUUCAUUAGGAAGAUCUUGUCUGAAAGAUAACUUCGAGCACUGCUUACGUUUUAUGACUUAUGUUCAAUACAUGCUUCACUUAAUCAGCCCAUGUCUCCCCUUGAAAAGACUGCAGAUGUUGUGUACAGUUCCGCGUUUGCUUGUGUUUCAUCCGUUGAGUUCUUAAUUAUAUUUGAGAUGCAUUGAGUUGUGAAUUGUUUGUUUCAACCUUCAAACAUAAUCUUUCUACACUGGAAAAUAAUAAUUUUCUAUUGUACAUUUCCACUUCCCCCCUUGAAUUUGUUGAUAUUUAGUAAGCAGCUGUAUUCUUUGUUCACUUUCAACAGUAUGUUUUAUAAUGAAAAUAAUAACUUUAUUGGUGAGCCAUAUGAAUGGUCAAAUUAAAAUAUUCAUCAAUCAUU